Gigantopelta aegis is the source of this 441-nucleotide long non-coding RNA. RefSeq lists it as uncharacterized. The record is from RefSeq and is a predicted model, not a curated record. NCBI's taxonomy places the organism in Eukaryota, Metazoa, Mollusca, Gastropoda, Neomphalida, Peltospiridae. The transcript has 3 exons.
UAAUGAACUUAAGUACAAACUGACAGAGAAAUGGGAAGAUGUCGCGCUGUAAGAACUAAGAAAAUCGAUUUCCUCAUGGACAAUUCCUCUGAGAGCAGUCUACGAACAUGACGGUGACGGGUGGAUACACUGACCACCUUUUCAAUACACAAAAAAUGUGAGCAGAACGUGUCGUACGGUCGUUAUACCUGUAAGCAGUUAUGUGCAGAUCGCCACUGUUCCGAUUCGUCCUCGUCCUGUGAUGUCAAGACGGGGGCGUGUGUUGGCGGAUGUCAAGCGGGCUGGACUGGAACAGACUGCAAGUGGGCAUGUAUCCAGAACGACACCUAUGGACAUGGCUGUAUAAAGUACUGCAGGGAACGUCACUGUUCGUCUUCAAAUGCAUCAUGCAACCUUCUCACAGGCGAUUGCGGUACUGAUGGGUGUCAAGCUGGCUGGCAG